This 253-nucleotide ribosomal RNA is filed under the name uncultured bacterium. RNAcentral's name for it is "partial 16S ribosomal RNA". It matches the Rfam family "Bacterial small subunit ribosomal RNA", at positions 524 to 776 of the family's 1533-position model. The record is from RNAcentral.
UACGUAGGGCGCAAGCGUUGUCCGGAAUUAUUGGGCGUAAAGGGCGCGUAGGCGGCGCGGUAAGUCACUUGUGAAAUCUCUGAGCUUAACUCAGAACGGCCAAGUGAUACUGCAGUGCUAGAGUGUGGAAGGGGCAAUCGGAAUUCUUGGUGUAGCGGUGAAAUGCGCAGAUAUCAGGAGGAACACCGGUGGCGAAGGCGGAUCUCUGGGCCAUUACUGACGCUGAGGAGCGAAAGCGUGGGGAGCGAACAGG